CACAGCGCGUGGCGCCCGCCGGCAGGCGCGACCGACAGUGGUAACAAAAAGUGCCCGCGCACCGUGGAUUCUGUGUGCAGGCAAUGGCCAGGUGGCCGCGCACGGCCUGCGCCACGCGGUCGUGCUCGACGAUGCAUUCGGCGCCACACGGGAUGACCUCGACGCGUGGGCCGCGGCGACGGCCCGCAGGCACAGGACGGUCGACGACGGUGUGGAGCGGGCAGGGGAUCACCUCCAUACCGGGGAAGCGAUGGCGGUCAUAGAGGCCCGCCAGGUUCAAUGCCUCAUCACCGUCGAGCACAAGGGCAAAGGGGUGUGCCUCGGGAUAGGCCGUGGCUGCGCACCGCGACUCGCCGUCCAGCGACACACACCCGACUGCCGCGCGCGCGACGCUCACCGGCGGGCGACCGCGGUUGAGCAACACGGUGCGCAUGCAACCGACGCACACGGCGUGAUCCGUGUUCCGGCACGGAUUGACCAGGAUGACAUCGUCUGCCAGACGUGCGCCAUUGGCCACAAGCACGUGUCGGUCGGGGUCGGUCCAAAGAUCGUGCAGCGUGGCCGGCCGCGCCUGUGGCACGUCCCACAAGACUGUUCCGUCGUCGCGCAUGCAGAUGCUGCACUCGAUGCCGGCCGCCUCGACGCACGGGCGCAGGACAAUAUCACACACGGCCUCUGGAACCGCGUGCGUCGCAUCGCUCGAUCUGUCCAACGACAAGACUGGCGACAUUGUUCUUAUAGGCUCUGACGAUGUGGACGUGUUGGUUGCCAGAGACUUGCGCAUGCGCUUGGCCGGUCGCGGUCGCGCUGCCGGCGCGGUCGGCGCGGUCGUCGUCGUUGUUGGCGCUUCCGGCCUCGACCGCUUGGCGGUCCGCCGCCGCCGUUGUGGUGCCAUCCUCGCCUCGGCAGAACCGUCCUCGACCGCCAGAGGCGAGCGCUGCGUCGACACUGGUCCUUGCUGGUCUCUUGUAGUCAGUGUCGAGGUGCGCGUAAUGAUCACGAGACCGUCGUCAUCGUCCAUCGUGGUAUCCAAGGUUUCAACAGACGAGGGUUGCGUAUCCUCGUGAUGAUCACCAUCGUUGUCAUGAUCACCAUCAUUGCCGCCAUCGUCGUCGCUCAUGUGCCCGGUGCGGUCGCGCGCAGCCUCGGAUGCCACGCGAGAUACGAUGCGGUCGAGGCGGCGCAUCAUAUGCUCCAUGUCGCUCCGUGCCCGCUCUGCCGAGCGCUGUGGCCGCAGAGGCAGAGGUGGGCGCCGCGCAAGCGCCUGACCGACCCAAGAGGCGCUUCGGGCCACGCACAGGGCGCCUCUGCCUGCACGACCCUGGUCGACAACCGAGUCCAAGAGAGUCGUCAGCGGCACGGUGGCGACAACGAAAUUGUCGUCACCCUCGGUCUUGGUGAGGUUCACGCGUGCGUCCAACAGUGUGCGUGCUGCGGGCGCGCGCCUGGGCGACGUGCGCCGUCGAUCGGCGCCUGGCACGAGAACGCUCAUGGCUGUGGCGACAGAGUCAAAGUCUGUGUGGAUGUCCUCACCUAGAUGAAUCACAGGCCGUGCAGGCGGCCCCUGCACCCAUAAGGCGUCACCCACUGUCGGAUCGGAUCGCAACAUGAGCGUAAUCGGGUAGGCGCAACGCAUGCGCGCCACGGCGAUGGCAUCCGUCUGUUGUGGUGGCGCCGCUGCCGACACCGAUGUCGUGUGCGCGCUAGAGGUUGCAUUGGAUUUGGGCGGUGCGCGCCUCGGUUGCGCAGGCAUGACAUCUGCUCGACGACCAUCGACAACGUCCAUCCGCGAAAGCGCUGCAGUCGCCAUGUAUCUGAUGUGUGCCGCCCCAACAAACUAGGUUGACGGGACAAUGUGGUCGACGGCUAUUUUUUUUAGUCGCUUGCGGGUGGAAUCGCAGACAAGGGGCAGGCCGUAGGUCGUCGCCGAGGCGGUUGUCUUUGUCCUCUGCCGCCGCCGUCGGGUCUCGCCACCCGACGGCAGAGCCCAAAGCGCGACACUCCUUGCGGUGCCAUUGCCCUCGCGGCAAAAGAGACUCGCGUUGCGCCGCCGGCGCGUGCCCCCUCUGCCCGCCCGACAGAUGGACUGGCCCUUUGCCCGUUACCUUUUUUUUGGAACCAUUUCCAUUCUUUUUUUUUUUCGUGUACAUCCCAAGCCAUCCUUUUUUUAAAAAAAACAAAGAAAGAAACAAUCAAGGCGGCAGGGUGGCCGGUUGCGCG
This 2220-nucleotide long non-coding RNA is filed under the name Pandoravirus celtis. RNAcentral describes it as "hypothetical ncRNA". The record is from RNAcentral.